UCCAGAAUGAAAGAAGUGUUGCGACUGUUGGGACUCCUCUAGGACUCUUAGAGACUGGCUUGAGAAAUAAGGAGCCUCCUGUCUGGAAAGGUUUGAGCCAGGGCCAGGCCACUGUCUGCUUGUGACCACUUUGCAGACCUACUUCUUUCUGGAGAUGAGUCCAAGCAGACAUCUGUUGGACACCAGGAAAGGCCAUUCAUUUGACGGUGUGGAAAUCCCACAAUCUGGCCUGCAUUCAGGAGGCUGAGGCAGGAGGAUGACAGGUUUGAGACCAGUUUGGGCUCUGUAGCCAGACUUCUGUAUGAAAACAAAACAGCCUACAACCCAAGAGGCUCACUCCCCCACCCCCACUCCACCCCCACUCCACCCCAACUCCCCAACCCAGGACCAGAAAAUGUUAGAGCAAAGCCUGCAGCUGCUCACAGCCCUAGCCCAUGUUGUCUUAUUCUCAAUCAUGGCAAGUGUCGCCCCCUAGAAGCAUUUCGGGCUGUGACUUUCAUGAAGCCUAUACUUCAGAGUCAAGACAGUCUCUGGGACCUAUCUUGGCUCUGCCGGUGACCAGCUGAGAGACGGUAGUGGGGUGGCAGUUACAGAGCAAGAGGCCAGCUGCAGAGCCUGGCUGCAAGUCAGGUUGGAUGUGAUGGAGCUGGACAAGGGCAAUGGCAGAAGAUGAAGAUCUGGGACCUAUUAGCCACACAGAGAGAUUCAGUAGAGAAGCUAUGGAGAGCACAAUUGCCACUCCUGUUUGCUGGGAAAGGAAUCUGCCCUGGGAAAGCUGUAGAAAGGGAUGGAUGACUUAUAAGCUGAAGCACAUACCAGGGAUGCCAGUCAAGAUUGCGUGACUCUGCUAAGGGCCGAUCGGGAACGAGAUAAGUUUUACUCAGGGGUGCUGGGAUCACAGACCCUCGCCACCACAUCCAGCUUGUUGUAUGGACUCCUGGGCCCAAACUCCGGCAACCGGAAGUAGUUUUGCCUGCUGGGCUCUCGCCUGACUCACACCUCACCUUAAAGGAUAUAAAUAAGUGUGGGCAGCACAUAUCGCUAGAACUGAGGAGCUGUGGUUUUGUUGUGUACUCUUCACAGAGGAUGUCGGUGUAAACACUGGUAAUCAUGACAAGUUCCUGGACAUGUUCUAUGAGCCGGGCGUAGAGCCAAGCCCUUACAAAUAUCUAUCCUUUAACCCGUAAGUAGCCCUGCCAGGACAUUCGCUUUUCAGAUGAGGCCUCAAAAGAUCAGGGGACUUGCCCUUGCCGGCGAUCACACACCUUUGCCUACACAAAUGGCAGACAUUCAUUCAUCACCUACAAUCAAAGCAGCUCCACCCUCAGUUGGCUCCAUCUGAUUCAGAAUUGUUUGACUCCGUGGUUCUGAGCCUGGCUUCUAUCACUGGGGAACUUGAAGAAACCCUGGAGCCUGGCCUCCAUCCUGAGAGAUUAUGAUGCAAUCAGACCGGGGUAUGGCCUGGACAUGGGGACUUUCUGGAGGACCCCAGGUGGCUCUAAUGUAUCGCCAAAGGACUGCUGCCUCCUUUAGGGGUGACUUUAGGGGUCUCCUACCCUUUCUCAGGUGUCUUCUCUGCUGCCUGAAACUCAGUCCAUGGAAGAAGAAAUCUCUUGGUGGUGUGCAAACUAUAAAUGGCGUAGAAUGUGGAGAGAAAGAGCACAUCUGUGUAGCUUCCCCGGGGUCCAUCUUGCCCUGCUUUCUGACAUUUAUUUGUUUAACACAACUGAGUGACAGCACAGCUUCCUUCCCAGAAGACACCACUGUGCUCGGAGGGUUAUGAAGCAACUCUAAGUCAAUUUAUGAGGUGUCGACAAGCCGAGGCCAUGGAGACCAGCAUUUUACCGCAAAGUCGUCUCCUGUGAUCAGCUGGAGGCUUAUCUUCAGUACAGGGAGAGAGCCCAAUCAUUUCCUUUCCUUUACAGUUCACCGUGGAGCCACCGUAUUUCAAGGGCGCUCUGUUCUUGUUCCGGUGGUUACCAACUGAUUGACAAGGUUUUAUAGUUCUGGGAACAGAGAAGAAGUGGAAAUUCCAAGGAAGAGACAGGAGACUUACAAAGGGCUUUUAAUGAGAUACAGGAGUGAGUGAGCAGCAGUGGAGCAUCCUGCAGUCAGACAGAAGGGCGUGGCCAGGAAGUUGGUCCUGGGUAACUACUCUUGACUUUCAGAUGUUUUUCCAAAGUCAGGGCUGAGGGCCUCACAGCUCUGGAACCUCAUCAGGCCAUGAUGAUUGCACAAAUCACCAACAUUUAGCCUGAGCCCAGUCAGGCCCCAACCCAACUCUUCUGAAUGUUACAACUUGCACAUUUGAGGUCAAGCUCAAUUGGAUACAAAGAGGAAGGAUAUUCCCGAAAGGGCAAACUUUUUCCAGGAACACUUUGGCACACAGCCCUCCUUAUGCUUUCACUUCAGUUUGUGUUUGGGAACACAUCCAAAGUGAGGAACCAGAAAAAACAAAACAAAACAAAACAAAAAACUAAACUACUCAGGGGGCUGCGGAGACAGCUCAAUUGGUACCUGCCGCACAAGCACGAGGACCUGGAUUUGGAUCUCCAGUAUCCACAUAAAAGCCUGACCCAGGAGAUUGUGUCCAU
Peromyscus californicus insignis is the source of this 2594-nucleotide long non-coding RNA. RefSeq lists it as uncharacterized. Lineage: Eukaryota; Metazoa; Chordata; Mammalia; Rodentia; Cricetidae. The record is from RefSeq and is a predicted model, not a curated record. The transcript has 4 exons.